UACGUAGGGUGCAAGCGUUAAUCGGAAUUACUGGGCGUAAAGAGCGCGCAGGCGGUCGUUCAAGUCGAGUGUGAAAGCCCCCGGCUCAACUGGGGAGGGUCACUUGAUACUGAUCGACUGGAAGGCAGGAGAGGGAAGCGGAAUUCCCGGUGUAGUGGUGAAAUGCGUAGAUAUCGGGAGGAACACCAGUGGCGAAGGCGGCUUCCUGGCCU
Molecule: ribosomal RNA, 212 nt
Filed under: uncultured bacterium
Lineage: Bacteria
Description: partial 16S ribosomal RNA
Rfam family: Bacterial small subunit ribosomal RNA
Source: RNAcentral